UACGUAGGGUGCGAGCGUUAAUCGGAAUUACUGGGCGUAAAGCGUGCGCAGGCGGUUCGUCGUGUCCGAUGUGAAAGCCCCGGGCUCAACCUGGGAAUGGCAUUGGAAACUGGCUAGCUGGAGUGUGGCAGAGGGGGGUGGAAUUCCGCGUGUAGCAGUGAAAUGCGUAGAGAUGCGGAGGAACACCGAUGGCGAAGGCAGCCCCCUGGGCCAACACUGACGCUCAGGCACGAAAGCGUGGGGAGCAAACAGG
RNAcentral lists this ribosomal RNA (253 nucleotides) under uncultured bacterium. RNAcentral describes it as "partial 16S ribosomal RNA". It matches the Rfam family "Bacterial small subunit ribosomal RNA", at positions 524 to 776 of the family's 1533-position model. The record is from RNAcentral.